CAUUAAGAAGCUAUGUAUCAGCACUAGCCUUUUAAGCUAGGCAGAGAGGAAAUCUUCCUCCUUAAUGG
Molecule: transfer RNA, 68 nt
Filed under: Cacatua moluccensis (salmon-crested cockatoo)
Lineage: Eukaryota; Metazoa; Chordata; Aves; Psittaciformes; Cacatuidae
Description: tRNA-Lys
Source: RNAcentral